RNAcentral lists this ribosomal RNA (453 nucleotides) under uncultured Anaerolineaceae bacterium. Its description in RNAcentral is "bacterial SSU rRNA". It matches the Rfam family "Bacterial small subunit ribosomal RNA", at positions 916 to 1381 of the family's 1533-position model. The record is from RNAcentral. Lineage: Bacteria; Bacillati; Chloroflexota; Anaerolineae; Anaerolineales; Anaerolineaceae.
CGGGGCCCGCACAAGCAGCGAGCGUGUGGUUUAAUUCGAUGCUACACGAAGAACCUUACCAGGGUUUGACAUGCAAGUGGUAGGAAGCCGAAAGGUGACCGACCCUUCGGGGAGCUUGCACAGGUGCUGCAUGGCUGUCGUCAGCUCGUGUCGUGAGAUGUUCGGUUAAGUCCGCUAACGAGCGCAACCCUCGCUGUGUGUUAUAUGUGUCACACGGGACUGCCGGUCUUAAGCCGGAGGAAGGUGAGGAUGAUGUCAAGUCAGCAUGACCUUUAUAUCCAGGGCUACACACACGCUACAAUGGUCUGUACAAUGGGUAGCCAAGCCGCGAGGCGGAGCCAAUCCUGAAAGCAGGCCUCAGUUCAGAUUGCAGUCUGCAACUCGACUGCAUGAAGCCGGAGUUGCUAGUAACCGCAGGUCAGCAAUACUGCGGUGAAUACGUUCCCGGGUCUU